UUAUUUUUCAUGUGACCUGAUGACCCUGCGUUGUCUCACAGGGAAUAUGUCUGACAAGGUUGGAUCAAAUGGAACUUGUGGCUGUGAAGAACAUCCGAGCAUGAUGUUCGAUGAAGCUGAAGCUGCAGCCCGAUUCUUCCCGACCCGGAGGGAGAGACUUCGAUCCUGUUCCACAGAAAGACCUCGCAGGAGCAGCUCCUAUGAAACGGGUCGACUGAAUUUCUAAAGAACAGAAGAAAUGCUCUGGAGGAACGACCCCCGCAAAGUGACCUAAAGAUGGAUGGAGACGUUGCCAUGGAAACCUUCUGCGUCUAAUUCAGACGAGUUUAUUUAGCACCCGUCGUCUACUCUUAUUUUGUUCAUCUUUUUUCCUGUUUAUAAUAAUUGCUUUAUAAAAGUAUUAUUUAGUGGAACUCCAAUAAAGAGGCUGCAUGUCGGCCAAAUGUCAACUAACGGUCCCACAAAAUGUAACUUUGAGUUUGCAGUGAUAUGGAACAAUGGGUCAAUGUGAACAGCACCUGUACAUUAUCGCUCAAUGAUGCACCCUGUGACUCGCUCUCAACCAACCACAGCGCUGGAUUUCAUCUACCCGCGUUAUAAAGAUGUAUAAAAUGUCUGGAAAUUUGAUGAAUAUUGCACUUUCUUAUUACUUGUUCUUCUGCGUUUGUAUCUCUGGUUGAAAUGCUUCCUUUGGAUAAAAUCUAUAAACCUCAAUAAACUACUGCAAUGCAA
Long non-coding RNA from Pungitius pungitius (ninespine stickleback), 732 nucleotides. RefSeq lists it as uncharacterized. The record is from RefSeq and is a predicted model, not a curated record. NCBI's taxonomy places the organism in Eukaryota, Metazoa, Chordata, Actinopteri, Perciformes, Gasterosteidae. The transcript is spliced from 3 exons.